This 400-nucleotide unclassified non-coding RNA is filed under the name Peucedanum morisonii. RNAcentral's name for it is "partial external transcribed spacer". The record is from RNAcentral. Lineage: Eukaryota; Viridiplantae; Streptophyta; Magnoliopsida; Apiales; Apiaceae.
CGCAUGAACAACAGGACGGUUAAGUCCUCGAGUCAAAACGGGGCACGUCAGGCUUUCGUAAGGGACAAUUGAUUCGGGCAAAAAAGGGACAAAGGACCCCGACCGAUCAUGCAUCUACAUACAAGACUUCUAGCAACACUUGGGCGUCCGAUACUUGCAAGCUAAAUAAGCAAAGCAAGGGCGGACAUCCAUAGGAGCUUCAGGGUCUACGUCGCACAAAAAACUUUUUGCACGAGAUAGAGUAGGGCCCAUGGGACUAGAGAAUUCCAUCAAAAUAGGUAUGCUACACAGGGGGCCAAGCCAAUCCAAGGCAAAAUAUUUAGCACUCGGACAGAAUUGAAUAGGUUUGAACCAGCGGUUGUCGCUGCCAAGGCAGGGAACCAACCACCCGGAACAUACC